This 460-nucleotide ribosomal RNA is filed under the name uncultured bacterium. RNAcentral's name for it is "partial 16S ribosomal RNA". It matches the Rfam family "Bacterial small subunit ribosomal RNA", at positions 338 to 795 of the family's 1533-position model. The record is from RNAcentral.
CCUACGGGAGGCAGCAGUGAGGAAUAUUGGUCAAUGGACGAGAGUCUGAACCAGCCAAGUCGCGUGAAGGAUGACUGCCCUAUGGGUUGUAAACUUCUUUUAUAUGGGAGUAAAAUGUUCCACGUGUGGCAUUUUGUAUGUACCAUAUGAAUAAGGAUCGGCUAACUCCGUGCCAGCAGCCGCGGUAAUACGGAGGAUCCGAGCGUUAUCCGGAUUUAUUGGGUUUAAAGGGAGCGUAGGUGGUUUGUUAAGUCAGGUGUGAAAGUUUGCGGCUCAACUGUAAAAUUGCAGUUGAUACUGGCAGUCUAGAGUGCAGUAGAGGUGGGCGGAAUUCGUGGUGUAGCGGUGAAAUGCUUAGAGAUCACGAAGAACACCGAUUGCGAAGGCAGCUCACUGGACUGCAACUGACGCUGAGGCUCGAAAGUGUGGGUAGCAAACAGGAUUAGAUACCCUAGUAGUC